This 253-nucleotide ribosomal RNA is filed under the name uncultured bacterium. RNAcentral describes it as "partial 16S ribosomal RNA". It matches the Rfam family "Bacterial small subunit ribosomal RNA", at positions 524 to 776 of the family's 1533-position model. The record is from RNAcentral.
UACGUAGGGGGCGAGCGUUGUCCGGAGUUACUGGGCGUAAAGGGCAUGCAGGCGGUCGGACGCGUUUCGGGUGACAGCGGGUGGCUUAACUACCCGAGUGGUCGAAAGACGGUUUGACUUGAGGACGCGAGAGGGACACGGAAUUCCGGGUGGAGUGGUGAAAUGCGUAGGGAUCCGGAGGAACACCGACGGCGAAAGCACUCUGCUGGGCCGACACUGACACUGAGAGACGAAAGCUAGGGGAGCGAAUGGG